RNAcentral lists this ribosomal RNA (440 nucleotides) under uncultured bacterium. RNAcentral's name for it is "partial 16S ribosomal RNA". It matches the Rfam family "Bacterial small subunit ribosomal RNA", at positions 338 to 795 of the family's 1533-position model. The record is from RNAcentral.
CCUACGGGAGGCAGCAGUGGGGGAUAUUGCACAAUGGGCGGAACUCUGAUGCAGCGACGCCGCGUGGGUGAAGAAGCGCCUCGGCGCGUAAAGCCCUGUCAGCAGGGAAGAAAAUGACGGUACCUGAAGAAGAAGCUCCGGCUAACUACGUGCCAGCAGCCGCGGGAAUACGUCGGGGGCAAGCGUUAUCCGGAUUUACUGGGUGUAAAGGGGGCGCAGGCGGCGAUGCAAGCCAGGAGUGAAAGCCCGGGGCCCAACCCCGGGACUGCUGUUGGAACUGCGUGGCUGGAGUGCAGGAGGGGCAGGCGGAAUUCCUGGUGUAGCGGUGAAAUGCGUAGAUAUCAGGAGGAACACCGGUGGCGAAGGCGGCCUGCUGGACUGCAACUGACGUUGAGGCCCGAAAGCGUGGGGAGCAAACAGGAUUAGAUACCCGUGUAGUC